This 671-nucleotide ribosomal RNA is filed under the name Tessaracoccus rhinocerotis. Its description in RNAcentral is "partial 23S ribosomal RNA". It matches the Rfam family "Bacterial large subunit ribosomal RNA", at positions 1 to 595 of the family's 2925-position model. The record is from RNAcentral. Lineage: Bacteria; Bacillati; Actinomycetota; Actinomycetes; Propionibacteriales; Propionibacteriaceae.
ACAGUGGACGCGAGCAUCUUUGUAGUAACAACAAGCUACUAAGUGCGAUCGGUGGAUGCCUUGGCACCAAGAGCCGAUGAAGGACGUUGUAACCUGCGAUAAGCCAUGGGGAGCUGGUAAACGAGCUUUGAUCCUUGGAUCUCCGAAUAGGGAAACCUCGAAUUUCCGGAGUUAUGUCCGGCGACCUCUGCCUGAAUAUAUAGGGCAGUUGGAGGGAACGUGGGGAAGUGAAACAUCUCAGUACCCACAGGAAGAGAAAACAAUUGUGAUUCCGUUAGUAGUGGCGAGCGAACGCGGAAGAGGCCAAACCAUGUGUGUGUGAUAGCUGACAGGCGUUGCACAUGUGGUGUUGUGGGGCCGCUUGGAUCGGGCUGUCAUCCGGUCAGAGAGUAAGAAAUGAUCAGGGAAGUUGAAGUGCCUGGAAAGGUACAGCGUAGAAGGUAAUACUCCUGUAGACGUAAUUUGAUCACUCUCUAGCGUUACCCCAAGUAGCACGGAACCCCUGAAAUUCCGUGUGAAUCUGGCGGGACCAUCCGCUAAGCCUAAAUACUCCUUGGUGACCGAUAGCGGACAAGUACCGUGAGGGAAUGGUGAAAAGUACCCCGGGAGGGGAGUGAAAUAGUACCUGAAACCGAUCGCAUACAAUCCGUCGGAGCCUUCCUUUUGGGGGG